RNAcentral lists this long non-coding RNA (1277 nucleotides) under Canis lupus familiaris (dog). Its description in RNAcentral is "lncRNA (ENSCAFG00000059043.1)". Lineage: Eukaryota; Metazoa; Chordata; Mammalia; Carnivora; Canidae. The record is from RNAcentral.
UUUUUUUUUUUCGCCUGUUUUGUUUGGCGUCUGGUUCGGUUUCAAAUUAGUUCGUUGAAGGUAGCUGCUUGUUUACUUACUAGGUGCCUUAAAAAAAAAAAAAUCCCUCCCCAAGCCGUUUCCGUGAAAUCUUUAUAGAGGAAGACUUCCUUAAAUGAAGGGGCAAGUUCAGAGUGGGCCCAGGCCGAAGCUCUAGCCGUCCUAGGUGUCCCCCCCACCCCGUGAGGUCCUGCUCUCCAUCUGUAUCUACCUAAGCUAAUGACACAAUUCAGCUCUUUAUUUUCCCCUCCUCACUUUCGCGGAAAGACGUUUUUAAUUUAGCUGAAGAAUUACACAAAUGUAUUUUAAAGACAUAAAUCCAUAUAAAAAAUAUGAGCUAAUUAAAACAUUGCACUCCCUGUCGCUCAUGGAUUUUCAAUUUAGCGAAAGAAAAAAGAAUUGCAUCUGGUUAAAUGAAAAGAUGAUACUGAUGGCAGAUUGGAGUAAAUGAAAAAUAAUGUUACUCUAUAUUAAAGCACCAAAUUAUACACGUCAGGGUUGAGAUUUCGAAGGUCCCGAUGAGGGGGACAGUGCAAGGGAGAGGGGGACCGGCGAUGUGCGAGGGAGGCAAGCCAGAUCGCUUGCAUAAAAUGGAAGCAUUAAAACAGAUGACACAUUUGUUUCUUGCUGUGUUGGAGAUACGCUAGUCUCAUAGCUGACCCUGUUUCUGAAUUCUCAUUUUGCUUCCCCCGAGUGAGAGUCAGGAUGAGGAUCAAAAAAAGAAAAAUAGGGUACAUGUAUAUUUUCCCUGGAAUGCGGGUCAUCCCUUGGUUAGACACCGAAUGGUACAGGUGACUUGCCUGGCCAGGCGAGGCCGUUGCAGCCGGGGGAGCGAGGAUGCCUCCCUUCACCCCGUGGGCCGCUCCCGGGCUCCCGACUUUCAAUAUUUGCUUUGCAGCUGGAGCCUCGGAGAAGCUCAGGGGAGAGGCUUGCCGGGCUCUGGCUCUUGUGCCACUGGUACAGCCUUUUUCUGGGCUGUUCGGUGUCCACGUGGCCAGGGGUCGCACCUAAAAACCAUCAGGCAAGGCGGCAGGGAUGGGGAUGCCAAGAGGCAGAAGUAGGCAAGGAGCGUGGAGCGGUCCCGGGCUUGAGUCCACCUGCCCACUGCCCUUGUGCUGGUGGACAAGUCACGAAACCCUCCGGCUCGUGGCAAAAUCAGAAUGUCAUGGAUCGCCGCCACGCCUGGCUCGCCGAAGAAGCCACUCAGUGGGAGUGUUGCUGUCAUUUGCUAUCGUUAU